GGGUUAGGGUUAGGUAAGUCACGGUAACACGUCCUCUCUGUGCAGGCUGCCCGCCGUCCUGCAGCUUAAUGGCAGCGCGGUUCUGAGGAGAGCGCGAGGACGCAGAGAGGUUCUUCAUCCGGUACCACCUGGAGCGAGUGGACCAGGAGCCGCCUCAGAGGUACGCCGUCCUGGUGGCGAAGUACGGCGAGCUGGCUCCUCUGGCGGAGGUGGACCUGCGGCCGCGCUGCCCUCAGGUGGAGGUGCUGUGGGGGGAGCGAGUGGAGACCCUGGGGCUGUCGUUGGAGCAGACGGUAGGAGACCUGAGAAGACGCUGCGGUCUCUGCUGCAGCUUCCCGCCUCCGGCCUGCGCCUCUUCCACGUGGACCGCGAGAUGUGCCACGUCCUGGGCCCCGCAGAGAUGAGGUGCCCCAGCCGCGCCCUGCACUCCUACGGCAUCCGCGACGGAGACCAGAUCCUGGUGGUGCUGCGGGGCGCGGGGCGGAGCUCCUCAGGCCGCAGCUCCUCUGGCCGCAGCUCCUCAGGCACCGAGCGGAACGGCCCGGACCAGGCGACUGUGUGAAUGUAACGGAGCUGCUGUAAUAAAGACUCCACAAGAAGCUGCUCUUUCAGAUGUUCUAGAAUCAUUUAUAAAAUGUUACUUUGACUAGAUUCAAACAGAUGUUUAACAAACGACGGCGACUCAAACUUUAGUCCAACACUUUGUGGAAACGCCUUCAUCUAUAUUUGUCCAUUUGUUUAAGUUUCUGCCUUCGCUGCGUUCAGAGCCUCAUCCACCACUUUCUGUAAAUGAAGAACUAAAGCUCGUUCAGCUCCGUUAUUUAGAACGGGAGGAAAAGAAAAAUAGGACGAUGUUUUUCACAGGAGCCAGCGCCGUUUCCUCAGAGUGGCCCUUCUUCAUUUCACAGUCUGUCAUUCAGCAUUAACGUCUGUGCUGGAAUAUUCUAUUGUUCCUUUAGGGGACACUGACUCUCCCCCUGUGUCUCCCUGUGACUCUCCCCUGUCCCGGGACGACCCUCUUGGCCCCUCCCCCGGGUCUGCGGCUCAUGUUACAACAGCAAACCUUCUGUCGGAGGGGGCGGCGCAGGAGGGUAACCUCACACCAGCGCGAGGCCCGGGCACUUCCGUGGCCCCUGGAUCAGAACGACCUCCGCUCCCUCCUGAGUAAGUGAGAGGGCACUACAGUGACGUCACGGACUCUUCCUUUGGGAAACCCCUCACGCUAAGACGCUCCAACACGCUAACACGAGAGCGAGACGUGACGGCGACAGACGGAAACCUGUCUAAUG
RNAcentral lists this long non-coding RNA (1289 nucleotides) under Neogobius melanostomus (round goby). RNAcentral's name for it is "lncRNA (ENSNMLG00000004186.1)". The record is from RNAcentral. Lineage: Eukaryota; Metazoa; Chordata; Actinopteri; Gobiiformes; Gobiidae.